RNAcentral lists this ribosomal RNA (463 nucleotides) under uncultured bacterium. Its description in RNAcentral is "partial 16S ribosomal RNA". It matches the Rfam family "Bacterial small subunit ribosomal RNA", at positions 28 to 507 of the family's 1533-position model. The record is from RNAcentral.
GAUGAACGCUGACAGAAUGCUUAACACAUGCAAGUCUUUGGCGAAGCUGUGCUCGCACAGCCUAGCCAAGGCGGACGGGUGAGUAACGCGUAAGGAACUUGCCCUGCAGUCAGGGAUAACAGACGGAAACGACUGAUAAGACCUGGUAAAGUCAGGCGGACUCAUGUCCAGCCUGAUGAAAAGAGAUGCUGCAGGAGAGCCUUGCGUCCUAUUAGCUUGUUGGUGGGGUAACGGCCCACCAAGGCGAUGAUAGGUAGCCGGCCUGAGAGGGUGGACGGCCACAAGGGGACUGAGAUACGGCCCUUACUCCUACGGGAGGAGGCAGUGGGGAAUAUUGGACAAUGGGGGCAACCCUGAUCCAGCAAUUCUGUGUGCACGAUGAAGGUUUUCGGAUUGUAAAGUGCUUUCAGCAGGGAAGAAAAAAAUGACGGUACCUGCAGAAGAAGCGACGGCUAAAUACGUG